UUUUGCGCUAGGUAUCGAAGGGCGCUAUGUUCAAAAAUCUGAAACUAGAGCUCAAAAUUUGAAAAAAAUGUCAAAAAAUUAGGGGGGUCGCCUAUUCUAGGACUUCUAGAGAAAAAUAAUGAGGGGUGUCACGGGAUAUGACUAUAUAGGUCUUGUAGAGGAGAAACAGGCACUCUUUUUACGCUAGGUAUCGAAGGGCGCUAUGUUCAAAAAUCUGAAACUAGAGCUCAAAAUUUGAAAAAAAUGUCAAAAAAUUAGGGGGGUCGGCCUAUUCUAGGACUUCUAGAGAAAAAUAAUGAGGAGUGUCACGGGGUAUGACUAUAUAGGUCUUGUAGAGGAGAAACAGGCACUUCUUUUGCGCUAGGUAUCAAAGGGCGCUAUGUUCAAAAUCUCAAACUAGAGCUCAAAAUUUGAAAAAAUGUCAAAAAAAUGGGUAGGGUCGGCCUAUUCCAGGAGUUCUAGAGAAAAAUAAUGAGGUGUCACGGGGUAUGACUAUAAUAGGUCUUGUAGAGAAGAACAGGCGCUUCUUUUGCGCUAGGUAUCAAGGGCGCUAUGUUCAAAAAUCUCAAAACUAGAGCUCAAAAUUUGAAAAAAAAUGUCAAAAAAUGGGGUAGGGUCGGCCUAUUCCAGGAGUUCUAGAGAAAAAUACUGGGGCUGUCACGGGAUAUGGCUAUAUAGGUCUUGUAGAAGAUAAACAGGCGCUCUUUUUACGCUAGGUAUCGAAGGGCGCUAUGUUCAAAAAUCUGAAACUAGAGCUCAAAAUUUGAAAAAAAUGUCAAAAAAUUUGGGGGGUCGGCCUAUUCUAGGACUUCUAGAGAAAAAUAAUGAGGGGUGUCACGGGGUAUGACUAUAUAGGUCUUGUAGAAAAGAAACAGGCGCUCCUUUUGCACUAGGUAUCGAAGAGCGCUAUGUUCAAAAAUCUGAAACUAGAGCUCAAAAUUUGAAAAAAAUGUCAAAGAAUUAGGGGAGUCGGCCUAUUCUAGGACUUCUAGAGAAAAAUAAUGAGGGGUGUCACGGGGAAUGACUAUAUAGGUCUUGUAGAGGAUGAACAGGUGCUUCUUUU
This 1063-nucleotide long non-coding RNA is filed under the name Mytilus galloprovincialis (Mediterranean mussel). Lineage: Eukaryota; Metazoa; Mollusca; Bivalvia; Mytilida; Mytilidae. The record is from RNAcentral.